GAAGAGUGUUCAAGUCUCCGCGUGGCUGCGGGCGGGUUUGCGCGUCAGGUGCUUAGUGUGUGUGCCGUCGCGUCUUGCGUGGCCGUUGCGGUGUGUGUCGUGUGGUUCGGACCUGUCGUUGGGUCUGACUGGGACCGUGCCACUCCGGGAACACGCUCGCGUGUGACCGUCAAAGUGUCUCAUUCGUUACAUCAUCGUUUCCGCGCGGAGCGGCCACUUUACCAGAAGUUUCGGAAGGAGAAAAACUCCCGAAUUUAUCCGUGGCUUUCCCUUGGAAGACACACUAUACACCGCAGAGCAGAGAGGAGGAACCAAGGCAGAGCACUGAUUUGCUAAGUUGACACAAACAACAGUUUUGGGGAAAUGAAGUGACUGGAAUUCAUGGGGGCAGAGUGUGGAAGAGGAGUGGAGUUGGUAUUUCCACCAAACAAGACCUACGUACCUGUGGGCAAGGCCAUGCUACCUCCGCCCUCUGAAUUGUGGAUGAGCCAAUAUGGUGAAACCUUGGAGAAUGCAUAUUCGGAGACAGACAUUUGCUUCAUGAUACCGCAGAGGUCACAAGCCCUCAUGGAAACAGAACCAAAGACAGAGAGUCUGGGAUCUGGAAGAGAUAGGGUGUGAGGGUUUGCAGAGAAGGUCACUGGGCCAUUCCAGACAUAUCCAAGAAAUGACCACAGAGAAUAGAAUUAACAUCAGGACCUUUGGACAGGCCUGUAGAGUGGGUGGGUUGGCUGGACCUCCUGUGGCUGUGAGCAUUAGACAGAGAGAUGACCUACCUGGGAACACAUUUGAGCUGGGCCACAAAGCCCUAACGUGCUGAAGGCAAGGAGUCCCAGGUCCCCAAGUACAGGCGGGUAGAAUGGCCAGCUGGUGCGGCCUGACUGGACUUAGAUCUCAGGCAGACAAAGGGGGCCGCCUUCUCUACUUGUCCCGACUUGUGGGAUCAGGACUACAUUUCCUAUAAGUGACUGUGGCUCCAGGCCCACCAUCUACCCCUCCCCCUGGAUGUGCACGUCAGGCCUGAUCUAGGAAUAGAAUGGUACUAGAGGGGCAUGGGAGAAGGGAUUGGAUUCUGUAUAUAUGUUAAAGGUGGAGCUAACGGGAUUCACAGAUUUACUGGGUGGAGUAGCAAGAGACUGGGAGUAGUGAAGGAUAACUCCAGGGAAUCCUGAGACAAGUAACUGGAAGAACAAACAUCACCAACCGAGAGAGGAAAACACGCACGGAGAGGAGCACAUCUUUGGGGGUGAGAUUGGGUGUUUGGUUUCAAAUGCAAUAGUUUGACGUGUUUGUUAGACAUACAAGUGGCAACGUGGAGGAUCAUUUUAGGGGCAGAGUCUGGGCUAGAAUCUUAAGUUAGGAAAUACUUUUAUUGUGUAGCUAAUUUAUAUUGUGAUGUACUGAGGCAAAUCAAUGUUUUUCAUUUAUCCUACCUUUUUUUUUUGCUCAAAAGUUGUUUUCCUACCCUAAAUUAUGAAUGUUCGUCUUUAUUUUUCUGUAGAACUCUAUGAGGAUAUUAAAAAAUAUCCUGUAAUUUGUUAUACCAUAGAGUGUGAUGAAUCAAUGCUAUCUGUAAUACUUGUACUUUGAAGAUUUAUUAAAGUUUCCCUCAUCUAUAAAUGAUUGAUUGUAAAUAUUACAUGGUUAUUUUAAAAGAAUGACUGGGGCGCCUGGGUGGUUCAGCUGGUUAAGCGUCCGACUUUGGCUCAGGUCAUGAUCUCACUGUUCGUGGGUUCGAGCCCCACAUCCAGCUCUGUGCUGACAGCUCGGAGCCUGGAGCCUGCUUCAGAGUCUGUGUCUUCCUCUCUUUCUCUGCCCCACCUACCCCCCCCCCCCGUCUCAAAAAUAAACAUUUACAAAAAAUUUUUUAAAAUAAAAGAAUGACUAUUUUUUUUUCCCUAUACAUAGUAGUUCCAUUUCAUAUCUCUUUGUUUAAUUUUAAUAGUACUCUGAUGUGUUGGGUCAUUUGGAUCUAUUUUUUAUUCCUUGAUGUGGUCUCAUAAUUUUCAUUUCUUUGAUGUUUGCAUUAGAUACCUACUGCUGCAUAACAUAUUACCUUAGAACUUAAUGGCUUAAACAAUAGUCAGCACUUACCAUCUCUCACAGUGUCUGUGAGUCAGGGUUUCAGGAGCAGUUUAGCUGCGUGUAGUCAAGAUGUCAUUUGAAGGCUUAAAUGGGGCCAGAAUCGGGGCGCCUGGGUGCUCCAUUCACAUGGCUGGCAAAUUGGUGCUGGCUUUUGACAAUAGGCCCUGUUCCAUUCCAUGUAGGCCUCUCCAUAUGGCUGAUU
Neofelis nebulosa (Clouded leopard) is the source of this 2287-nucleotide long non-coding RNA. RefSeq lists it as uncharacterized. Lineage: Eukaryota; Metazoa; Chordata; Mammalia; Carnivora; Felidae. The transcript is spliced from 3 exons. The record is from RefSeq and is a predicted model, not a curated record.